Molecule: ribosomal RNA, 918 nt
Filed under: Triticum aestivum (bread wheat)
Lineage: Eukaryota; Viridiplantae; Streptophyta; Magnoliopsida; Poales; Poaceae
Description: partial small subunit ribosomal RNA
Source: RNAcentral
GGGAACUUGUGUUUUGUUCCUUUGCUCCUAUAAAGCCUCAGGGUCAGAGUGACGGAAGUACCUGCGACCUCGGUGACGGUGGAAAUGAUACACACACCAAUCCCGUAACACACCGCUAUUUGUGUACUGGUCGUUCCCCGGGACGGGGGGAGGUUUAUGAUACCUAAACAAGUAUUAUUUGUGUACUUGUCACGUCGUAAACUGAACAAAAGACGAGGCUGGCAGGGAGGGGUUGUAGGAUUAGGGUGAUUAGGGCGGAGGCGGUGACGUCCAAAGUACCGUUACUACCUCACGAUGGUUUAAUACAAGGUUCUUUUUACUAAAGCCGGAGUUGAACUGAUGUACGUACAACUUAACAACUGGGCUAAACUGCCUGAUAUAUUCACGAGAAGAGAAACCCUUAAACUUUCGUGUCGGGAAGAUUCGUAGCGUGUUAUAUAUCCGAAUAUAUACACCACCGAUAGUAACCAUGUUCGUACACACGUAAUCUGGUCUUUUCCCUUGUUUACAUGUUAAUGACCGGUCAAUAAUGACGGUCCAACAACGACAUCGUGCGGUCUGCGUACCUCUCCCUGCGGACCUGAUCCGAUUACUCCAACGGACCCGAUAGAGAAAAGUUAAAGAAUAAGGAUCAACGGUACGAUUAGUGUACCGUCCCUGCCGGUUCGGUCCGUCUGUAGAAAAAGAUACUCCUGUCCUUCGUUUGUCGACAGUGCAUCUUGAGUCCCUAGUAGGUUCGGUCCGCAUGUUACCGCACCUUCCGUACAUUUGUGCGGGAAUCAGAGCAAUCAUAUCAUAUCGUAUUGUAGGAAAGAUCGUAUCAUGAGGGAAACAAAGAUUUAAAUUCAGAAAAAUUUCAAAAGUGAUAUUCGAUACAUGUCUACAUAUAUCUACAUAAAAUCACAUAAAAAAUGCCCC